CGGCGGACGGGUGAGUAACGCGUGGGUAACCUGCCUCAUACAGGGGGAUAACAGUUGGAAACGGCUGCUAAUACCGCAUAAGCGCACAGUACCGCAUGGUACGGUGUGAAAAACUCCGGUGGUAUGAGAUGGACCCGCGUCUGAUUAGGUAGUUGGUGGGGUAACGGCCUACCAAGCCGACGAUCAGUAGCCGACCUGAGAGGGUGACCGGCCACAUUGGGACUGAGACACGGCCAA
This 237-nucleotide ribosomal RNA is filed under the name uncultured bacterium. Its description in RNAcentral is "partial 16S ribosomal RNA". It matches the Rfam family "Bacterial small subunit ribosomal RNA", at positions 96 to 333 of the family's 1533-position model. The record is from RNAcentral.